GAGCGAACGGACGAGAAGCUUGCUUCUCUGAUGUUAGCGGCGGACGGGUGAGUAACACGUGGAUAACCUACCUAUAAGACUGGGAUAACUUCGGGAAACCGGAGCUAAUACCGGAUAAUAUUUUGAACCGCAUGGUUCAAAAGUGAAAGACGGUCUUGCUGUCACUUAUAGAUGGAUCCGCGCUGCAUUAGCUAGUUGGUAAGGUAACGGCUUACCAAGGCAACGAUGCAUAGCCGACCUGAGAGGGUGAUCGGCCACACUGGAACUGAGACACGGUCCAGACUCCUACGGGAGGCAGCAGUAGGGAAUCUUCCGCAAUGGGCGAAAGCCUGACGGAGCAACGCCGCGUGAGUGAUGAAGGUCUUCGGAUCGUAAAACUCUGUUAUUAGGGAAGAACAUAUGUGUAAGUAACUGUGCACAUCUUGACGGUACCUAAUCAGAAAGCCACGGCUAACUACGUGCCAGCAGCCGCGGUAAUACGUAGGUGGCAAGCGUUAUCCGGAAUUAUUGGGCGUAAAGCGCGCGUAGGCGGUUUUUUAAGUCUGAUGUGAAAGCCCACGGCUCAACCGUGGAGGGUCAUUGGAAACUGGAAAACUUGAGUGCAGAAGAGGAAAGUGGAAUUCCAUGUGUAGCGGUGAAAUGCGCAGAGAUAUGGAGGAACACCAGUGGCGA
RNAcentral lists this ribosomal RNA (672 nucleotides) under uncultured Staphylococcus sp. Its description in RNAcentral is "bacterial SSU rRNA". It matches the Rfam family "Bacterial small subunit ribosomal RNA", at positions 64 to 718 of the family's 1533-position model. The record is from RNAcentral. RNAcentral also lists the same sequence under 1 other name. Lineage: Bacteria; Bacillati; Bacillota; Bacilli; Caryophanales; Staphylococcaceae.